RNAcentral lists this non-coding RNA (716 nucleotides) under Cheiracanthium brevispinum. The record is from RNAcentral. Lineage: Eukaryota; Metazoa; Arthropoda; Arachnida; Araneae; Cheiracanthiidae.
AAAUUUGAUUUUUAAAGAAAUGAAACCAUUCUGUAGUAUAAAAUUAAGGUAAUUUAUAUGUUAUAUUAAUAUUAGGAAUUAAAAAUAAUUUACUCUUAAUAACACUUACAAAUAUAUAUUAUAUUAAAGAUAAUUAAAUUUUAAAUAAACCAAUUAACGUGCCAGCAGUUGCGGUUAUACUUUAUAUCCAUUCAUAUAAAAAUAUAUUAAAUAUUUUUUAUUUAUAAAAAUUUUAUUUCAAGUAAAAUUGAAUAAAUUUAUAUUAAAAUUAAUAAUAAAUUCAAAACUAAGCUUAAAAUAGGAUUAGAAACCCUAGUAUAUUUAGAUUUAUUUAAGGUAAUAAAUUUAUUAAAAACCUACUUACAACGGCGGCUUUUACUCUUAUUAGAGGAAUCUGUUUUUUAAUCGAAAAUACACGAUAAAUUUAACUUAAUUUAACAAUUUAUAUAUCACCAUCAAGAAUUAAUAUCAAUAAUUAUUCAAAAUAAAAAAUAAAAAGUUAGGUCAAGGUUUAAUCUACAAAUAAGUCAAAUAUGGAUUACAAUAAAAAUAUUUAAGAAAUAAAACUUAAACUUUUUAAGAAAAAGGAUUUAUAAGUAAUUUAAUAAUAUUAUUAUUCCAUGAAUAAGAAUAGCAAAGUGCACAUAUCGCCCGUCACCCUUAUCUCAAGAUAAGGUAAGUCGUAACAUAGUUAAUGUUUUGGAAAAAGUAUUAAG